RNAcentral lists this ribosomal RNA (379 nucleotides) under uncultured cyanobacterium. Its description in RNAcentral is "bacterial SSU rRNA". It matches the Rfam family "Bacterial small subunit ribosomal RNA", at positions 376 to 770 of the family's 1533-position model. Lineage: Bacteria; Bacillati; Cyanobacteriota. The record is from RNAcentral.
CGAAAGCCUGACGGAGCAACGCCGCGUGAGGGAUGAAGGCCUCUGGGCUGUAAACCUCUUUUAUCAAGGAAGAAGAUCUGACGGUACUUGAUGAAUAAGCCACGGCUAAUUCCGUGCCAGCAGCCGCGGUAAUACGGGAGUGGCAAGCGUUAUCCGGAAUUAUUGGGCGUAAAGCGUCCGCAGGCGGUCUUGUAAGUCUGUCGUUAAAGCGUGGAGCUUAACUCCAUUUGAGCGAUGGAAACUGCAAGACUAGAGUGUGGUAGGGGCAGAGGGAAUUCCCGGUGUAGCGGUGAAAUGCGUAGAUAUCGGGAAGAACACCAGUGGCGAAGGCGCUCUGCUGGGCCAUAACUGACGCUCAUGGACGAAAGCCAGGGGAGCG